GACGAACCGAGCGAACGUUGUUCGGAAUCACUGGGCUUAAAGGGCGCGUAGGCGGGCUGUCAAGUCUGGGGUGAAAUCCCACGGCUCAACCGUGGAACUGCCUUAGAUACUGACGGCCUCGAGGGAGAUAGGGGCGAGCGGAACUGUGAGUGGAGCGGUGAAAUGCGUUGAUAUUCACAGGAACUCCGGUGGCGAAGGCGGCUCGCUGGAUCUUUCUGACGCUGAGGCGCGAAAGCUAGGGGAGCAAACGGG
This 252-nucleotide ribosomal RNA is filed under the name uncultured bacterium. RNAcentral describes it as "partial 16S ribosomal RNA". It matches the Rfam family "Bacterial small subunit ribosomal RNA", at positions 524 to 776 of the family's 1533-position model. The record is from RNAcentral.